GUUGACCUCGGAUCAGGUAGGGAUACCCGCUGAACUUAAGCAUAUCAAUAAGCGGAGGAAAAGAAACCAACAGGGAUUACCUCAGUAACGGCGAGUGAAGCGGUAACAGCUCAAAUUUGAAAUCUGGGUCUUUCAGGCUCCGAGUUGUAAUUUGUAGAAGAUGCUUCGGGUGCGGCUCCGGUCUAAGUUCCUUGGAACAGGACGUCAUAGAGGGUGAGAAUCCCGUAUGUGAUCGGUUGCUUGCGCCCAUGUGAAGCUCUUUCGACGAGUCGAGUUGUUUGGGAAUGCAGCUCAAAAUGGGUGGUAAAUUUCAUCUAAAGCUAAAUAUUGGCCAGAGACCGAUAGCGCACAAGUAGAGUGAUCGAAAGAUGAAAAGCACUUUGGAAAGAGAGUUAAACAGUACGUGAAAUUGUUGAAAGGGAAGCGCUUGCAACCAGACUUGCGCGUUGCCGAUCAUCCGGGGUUCUCCCCGGUGCACUCGGCUUCGCUCAGGCCAGCAUCGGUUUCGGUGGUGGGAUAAAGGCCUUGGGAAUGUAGCUUCUUUCGGGGAGUGUUAUAGCCCUCGGUGCAAUGCCGCCUACCGGGACCGAGGACCGCGCUUCGGCUAGGAUGCUGGCGUAAUGGUUGUAAGCGACCCGUCUUGAAACACGGACCAAGGAGUCUAACAUCUAUGCGAGUGUUUGGGUGUCAAACCCAUACGCGUAAUGAAAGUGAACGGAGGUGAGAACCCUUAAGGGUGCAUCAUCGACCGAUCCUGAUGUCUUCGGAUGGAUUUGAGUAAGAGCAUAGCUGUUGGGACCCGAAAGAUGGUGAACUAUGCCUGAAUAGGGUGAAGCCAGAGGAAACUCUGGUGGAGGCUCGCAGCGGUUCUGACGUGCAAAUCGAUCGUCAAAUUUGGGUAUAGGGGCGAAAGACUAAUCGAACCAUCUAGUAGCUGGUUCCUGC
This 945-nucleotide ribosomal RNA is filed under the name Coleophoma camelliae. RNAcentral describes it as "eukaryotic LSU rRNA". It matches the Rfam family "Eukaryotic large subunit ribosomal RNA", at positions 1 to 961 of the family's 3401-position model. The record is from RNAcentral. Lineage: Eukaryota; Fungi; Ascomycota; Leotiomycetes; Helotiales; Dermateaceae.